AUGAAGUCUAGGGUUGAGGCAACAUCUGCGGGAGCCGGGCUUGACUCGGGUAACGAGACGGCGAAGGGUGGAGACGAGGAAGGAAGUAAGAUCAGGGAGGGGGAUGUGGAAGAUCAGAAGGAAGAGGAUGAAGUAGAUUGGGAUCAGUAUGGCCCGGACAAUGAUCUGGAGGAUGUGUUUGCAAACCUCAAGCUGCAAGGCGAGGAGGAGGAAGACCUAGAUCUGUCCGGUGAGUUUGAAGAGCUGAUUAAGGAUGUACGCUGGAUGGCGCUUUUUAGGGUUCACACCCUACGGCCGUUCAGCCAUGCUUCCCUGCUGAAUUCAAUGAGGAACGCGUGGGCUUGUGCACAAGGGAUAACUUCCAACAUCAAGGGCCCCAACUUGUUCUUGGCUCAAUGCCAUUGUUUGGGAGAUUGGAAGCGUGUGAUGGAAGGGGGUCCUUGGCAGUUCAGAAGAGACCCGGUGGUAUUGGUAGAGUAUGAUGGCUUUUCCGACGUGGAAGAAUAUGAUCUGAACAUGUAUCCUUUGUGG
RNAcentral lists this ribosomal RNA (531 nucleotides) under Triticum aestivum (bread wheat). RNAcentral describes it as "partial small subunit ribosomal RNA". Lineage: Eukaryota; Viridiplantae; Streptophyta; Magnoliopsida; Poales; Poaceae. The record is from RNAcentral.